RNAcentral lists this ribosomal RNA (363 nucleotides) under Triticum aestivum (bread wheat). RNAcentral describes it as "partial small subunit ribosomal RNA". Lineage: Eukaryota; Viridiplantae; Streptophyta; Magnoliopsida; Poales; Poaceae. The record is from RNAcentral.
AUGGGAAGUACUGCUGAAUCAAUAGCAGCAUGCCAGAAACUGAAGGCAGACAGACCUCCAAGCAGCAUUCUGUGUCCUCCCAAAGGACAUGCAGCAGCUGCUGCUUUCCAAUCCCAAACGAGCCGUACUUCUUCAAGCGAGCCAAGAAAAGGUCUCAAGACUUGGGGACAUUGUCUCCCAGACAAGUUUGUAGCAGUUCACUUUUUCUUCGUACUAUUAAUAUUGCAAUUCUUUUAUCCACAGAGUAAAAAAUUCGUACGAUUUUUUAUACAUGGGUGCUGGCCUGCUGGAUUUGACUCACUUUUAUCCACAAAGUCUAAAAUUUACACGCAUUUUUUAUAUAUACAUGGCUGCUGGAUUUGA